This 46-nucleotide non-coding RNA is filed under the name Schistosoma margrebowiei. Lineage: Eukaryota; Metazoa; Platyhelminthes; Trematoda; Strigeidida; Schistosomatidae. The record is from RNAcentral.
GCGUUGCUGAAGAGUCCCACAACAGGACGAAACGGCCGUCCAGUGC